Molecule: non-coding RNA, 2248 nt
Organism: Nicotiana tabacum (common tobacco)
Lineage: Eukaryota; Viridiplantae; Streptophyta; Magnoliopsida; Solanales; Solanaceae
Source: RefSeq, a predicted model, not a curated record
AAGAGAAAUCGGAGAAGCGGUGCUACUGUGCUUCUUCUUCACUGAGCUUGGCUUCAACUCGCCUAAGUUUCAAGCGAGCUUACUCAAAACAGUCCCCCUCUCCACGUCACCUCUAUUUUCCAAUAGAUUUGUCAGAGAGGAGUACGAUUGUUCCCUCAAAAUUGUGGAUUUUUGUACAAAAGGAUAAUUGUUGGACGAAUGGGAGCUAUAGAUAGAUGUGAAUCAAUCCACGCCCUCCAUUUGUCCCAAAAUUGUUCAAAAACAUGAGGGAUUUUCGGAUUUGGGCAGAUUUUUGAAGAUUUUUGAAAGCUAUAUAUAUGAAGUAAGUUCUAUGUGCUAAGGAAAGAAGAAGAAAAAAUCAGAAAAAAAUCGGAUAAAACUUCAGAAAACAUAGUCGAAAUUUCUAGGGUUUUUAGUUGUCACUUCUUCAGACUUUCUUCUUCCUUUUUUUUUCCAGAAAACAUACAAAAAAAUAAAAAUAAAGAGUACAAUGGUUUGAGUCCAAUCUCUUCAGUCGAGUUUUCUUCAUUCAAGAGAAAUUUCAAACAAAAAUCGUUCAAACAGAAUCUAUUUAGUGUUUAUUUCAUUCUCUUCAUUUCUGGUUUUCAAAGGAAGAUCGGUUUGAAGUUCAAGUUGGUUUUGAGUUUGAGGUCCGAAAUUCCAGUGUUGAUGUGGUUUAAGCUUGUCGAUCCCCGUUUCUGCUGCUGAUUCGUUCACUAUUGUUGCUGGACUUCAUCCCCAUCAUUGAUUAGUCAUUUUGGUUAUUUUCUUGCAAGCUAGAUGGUGAGGACACGACCUGUAGUUCCUGAUGACGUUACCCCCAGAGCAGAUGUCGCUAGGGGCAGAGGAAGAGGCUGACGAAGAGCACAUACCGCAUUUAAGGCGCCUAGCAGAGCAGCAGUUGAGGAGCUGCUAGUAGUUCCAGUUGGGGGGCAGGUACCAGAGGCACCUUCUAUUACACCCGUACUUCAGAAUACCUUAGCAUAGUUCCUCAGUAUGUUUGGUACAUUGGCUCAGGCGGAGUUGAUUCUGGUUGCACCAGCUACUUCACAGGCCAGGGGAGGAGCUCAAACUCCCACCGCCCACACUCUAGAGCAACGAGUUCAUGUUGAUCAGGAUCUAGGUUUCAUGGCGACACAACCUGUGAUUCCAGUUCAGCCAUGGUUAGGGCAACAACAUUUGAGGAAGAGCAACUUAGACUUGGAAGGUUCAAGAAAUAUUACCCUCCUACAUUCAGUGGUUUGGCUUUAGAGGGUGCCCAGGGUUUUCUGGAGGAGUGCCAUUGCAUUCUCCACACUGUGGGAAUUAUGUAGACGAGUGGGGUUGCUUUUACCACAUUCCAACUUAAGGGAGCUGCCUAUCAGUGGUGGAGGGUGUAUGAGUUGGGUAGCACAUCCGAUUUAGCUUCACUAACAUGAGUUCAGUUUUCAGAGAUGUUCUUGGGAGAGUUUGUACCUCAGUCCCUUCGAGAUGCAUGGCAUGCAGAGUUUGAGCAGCUGCACCAGGGCACUAUGUCAGUAUUAGCGUAUGUUAUUAGAUUCAGUGAUUUGCCUAGGCAUGCACCUACCUUGGUUUCUAUAGUUAGGGAGCGAGUCCAUAGGUUCAUUGAGGGGCUCAGUCAUGAUAUUCGGUUCAGCAUGGCUCCGGAGUUGGAGUCGGAUGUCUCAUUUCAGCAGGUGGUAGGGAUCGCUCGCCGGAUUGAGGGAAUGUGGGAUCAGGAGAGAGAGGACAGGUGAGGCCAGGAGAGAGAGGGCAGACAAGGUCAUGAGAUAGAGUUUGGGGGGGGGGGGGGGGGAUAGAAGGCCCCGUAGACUGGAGAGAUAUGCUGGUCCUUAUUUCGGAGGCAUGGUGCAGUAUGGUAGAGGUUUUGUGGUCCAGCCAAGCGAGUUUUCACUUUAGGCUUCGCACGGUGUUCCAGGUGCUCAUGGGUCUCAGAGUACCCAUGCCGCACAGUUUCCACAGCCAUGUUAGCAGAGUGGUUUCUUUGAGUGUGGCGAUACUAGCCACAUGCUGAGAGAUUGUCCCAGUAUCACGCCCCAAACCUAGAGAGGCGUGGCUGGCACGCGGUGCCGUACUGGACCGAGCGAACCAUUCUGUAACUCAUUCUUUCUGUGACCAUCGUGGGCCAACAUGGCAACCACUCGUAGUGCAUAACUGUAAGUGGGCAACAAUGUAUCAAUAAGCUAUCGUUCUUAAGAUAUCAAUACAUAUGGGGUGUCAAGGCCUCUAACAUACUGUACAAACUGAA